AUUGAACGCUGGCGGCAUGCCUAACACAUGCAAGUCGAACGGCAACACGAAGGCGCCCCCUGCUUCGCUGACGAGACGCGGGCGUGAGGGUUAUGUCCGUGAAACCGCCUGAUGGAUGGGGAAAAGUACUGGAAACGGAUACCACAACCGCAUAACGGCGGAAGGCCAAAGAGGGGGACGUUCGUGCCGCUGGCCAUCGGGUGGGCGCAGGUGGGAUUAGCUAGUAGGUGGGGUAACGGCUCACCCAGGCGACGAUCCCUAGCUGGUCUGAGAGGAUGACCAGCCACACUGGAACUGAGACACGGUCCAGACUCCUACGGGAGGCAGCAGUGGGGAAUAUUGCACAAUGGGCGCAAGCCUGAUGCAGCCAUGCCGCGUGUGUGAAGAAGGCCUUCGGGUUGUAAAGUUCUUUCAGCGGGGAGGAAGGGAGUGAAGUUAAUACCUUUGCUCAUUGACGUUACCCGAAGAAGAAGCACCGGCUAACUCCGUG
Molecule: ribosomal RNA, 490 nt
Filed under: uncultured bacterium
Lineage: Bacteria
Description: partial 16S ribosomal RNA
Rfam family: Bacterial small subunit ribosomal RNA
Source: RNAcentral